GAGUGAGUAACAGGUAGCCAACCUACCUUUCACACGGAAAUAGGUCUUCGAAAGAAGGAUUAAUACCAGAUAUAAUAUAUUUGUGACCUGACUAAUAUAUGAAAGAUUUAUCGGUGUUAGAUGGGGAUGCGUUCCAUUAGACAGUUGGUGAGGUAACGGCUCACCAAAUCUACGAUGGAUAGGGGUUCUGAGAGGAAGACCCCCCACAUUGGGACUGAGACACGGCCCAAACUCCCACGGGAGGCAGCAGUGAGGAAUAUUGGUCAAUGGACGAGAGUCUGAACCAGCCAAGUAGCGUGCACAGGAUGACUGCCCUAUGGGUUGUAAACUUCUUUUAUAGGGGAAUAAAAUGCACCACGUGCUGGUGUUUUGUAUGUACCCUACGAAUAAGGAUCGGCUAACUCCGUGCCAGCAGCCGCGGUAAUACGGAGGAUCCGAGCGUUAUCCGGAUUUAUUGGGUUUAAAGGGUGCGCAGGCGGACUGAUAAGUCAGCUGUGAAAGUUUACGGCUCAACCGUGAAAUUGCAGUUGAAACUGUCAGUCUUGAGUACACAUGAGGUGAGCGGAAUUUGUGGUGUAGCGGUGAAAUGCUUAGAUAUCACAAGGAACUCCAAUUGCGAAGGCAGCUCACUGGGGUGUAACUGACGCUCAUGCACGAAGGUGUGGGUAUCAAACAGGAUUAGAUACCCUGGUAGUCCACACAGUAAACGAUGAAUACUCGCUGUUUGCGAUAUACAGUAAGCGGCCAAGCGAAAGCAUUAAGUAUUCCACCUGGGGAGUACGCCGGCAACGGUGAAACUCAAAGGAAUUGACGGGGGCCGCACAAGCGGAGGAACAUGUGGUUUAAUUCGAUGAUACGCGAGGAACCUUACCUGGGCUUAAAUUGCAACUGACAGGACCCGAAACGGUCCCUUCUUCGGACAGUUGUGAAGGUGCUGCAUGGUUGUCGUCAGCUCGUGCCGUGAGGUGUCGGCUUAAGUGCCAUAACGAGCGCAACCCCUAUUGCUAGUUACUAACAGGUCAUGCUGAGGACUCUAGCGAGACUGCCGUCGUAAGAUGAGAGGAAGGUGGGGAUGACGUCAAAUCAGCACGGCCCUUACGUCCAGGGCGACACACGUGUUACAAUGGGUAAGACAGAGGGCAGCUACCUGGUGACAGGAUGCUAAUCCCAUAAACUUACUCUCAGUUCGGAUCGAAGUCUGCAACUCGACUUCGUGAAGCUGGAUUCGCUAGUAAUCGCGCAUCAGCCAUGGCGCGGUGAAUACGNUCCCGGCCCU
Molecule: ribosomal RNA, 1276 nt
Filed under: Bacteroidaceae bacterium SV452
Lineage: Bacteria; Pseudomonadati; Bacteroidota; Bacteroidia; Bacteroidales; Bacteroidaceae
Description: bacterial SSU rRNA
Rfam family: Bacterial small subunit ribosomal RNA
Source: RNAcentral